CCUACGGGAGGCUGCAGUGGGGAAUAUUGCACAAUGGGGGAAACCCUGAUGCAGCGACGCCGCGUGAGUGAAGAAGUAUUUCGGUACGUAAAGCUCUAUCAGCAGGGAAGAAAAUGACGGUACCUGACUAAGAAGCCCCGGCUAACUACGUGCCAGCAGCCGCGGUAAUACGUAGGGGGCAAGCGUUAACCGGAUGUACUGGGUGUAAAGGGAGCGUAGACGGCAGCGCAAGUCUGGAGUGAAAUCCCAUGGCUUAACCAUGGAACUGCUUUGGAAACUGUGCAGCUAGAGUGCAGGAGAGGUAAGCGGAAUUCCUAGUGUAGCGGUGAAAUGCGUAGAUAUUAGGAGGAACACCAGUGGCGAAGGCGGCUUACUGGACUGUAACUGACGUUGAGGCUCGAAAGCGUGGGGAGCAAACAGGAUUAGAUACCCCAGUAGUC
RNAcentral lists this ribosomal RNA (440 nucleotides) under uncultured bacterium. RNAcentral's name for it is "partial 16S ribosomal RNA". It matches the Rfam family "Bacterial small subunit ribosomal RNA", at positions 338 to 795 of the family's 1533-position model. The record is from RNAcentral.